GUGCCAGCCGCCGCGGUAAUACGUAGGGUGCGAGCGUUAAUCGGAAUUACUGGGCGUAAAGCGUGCGCAGGCGGUUUUGUAAGACAGGUGUGAAAUCCCCGGGCUUAACCUGGGAACUGCGCUUGUGACUGCAAGACUGGAGUGUGGCAGAGGGGGGUGGAAUUCCACGUGUAGCAGUGAAAUGCGUAGAGAUGUGGAGGAACACCGAUGGCGAAGGCAGCCCCCUGGGUCAACACUGACGCUCAUGCACGAAAGCGUGGGGAGCAAACAGGAUUAGAUACCCUGGUAGUCCACGCCCUAAACGAUGCGAACUAGGUGUUGGAGAAGGAGACUUCUUUAGUACCGUAGCUAACGCGUGAAGUUCGCCGCCUGGGGAGUACGGUCGCAAGAUUAAAACUCAAAGGAAUUGACGGGGACCCGCACAAGCGGUGGAUGAUGUGGAUUAAUUCGAUGCAACGCGAAAAACCUUACCUACCCUUGACAUGCCUCGAAUCCUGCAGAGAUGUGGGAGUGCUCGAAAGAGAGCGAGGACACAGGUGCUGCAUGGCUGUCGUCAGCUCGUGUCGUGAGAUGUUGGGUUAAGUCCCGCAACGAGCGCAACCCUUGUCAUUAGUUGCCAUCAUUCAGUUGGGCACUCUAAUGAGACUGCCGGUGACAAACCGGAGGAAGGUGGGGAUGACGUCAAGUCCUCAUGGCCCUUAUGGGUAGGGCUUCACACGUCAUACAAUGGUCGGUACAGAGGGUUGCCAAGCCGCGAGGUGGAGCCAAUCCCAGAAAGCCGAUCGUAGUCCGGAUCGCAGUCUGCAACUCGACUGCGUGAAGUCGGAAUCGCUAGUAAUCGUGGAUCAGCAUGCCACGGUGAAUACGUUCCCGGGUCUUGUACACACCGCCCGUCACACCAUGGGAGUGGGUUUCACCAGAAGUAGGUAGCCUAACCGCAAGGGGGGCGCUUACCACGGUGGGAUUCAUGACUGGGGUGAAGUCGUAACAAGGUAACC
RNAcentral lists this ribosomal RNA (998 nucleotides) under uncultured bacterium. RNAcentral's name for it is "bacterial SSU rRNA". It matches the Rfam family "Bacterial small subunit ribosomal RNA", at positions 505 to 1501 of the family's 1533-position model. The record is from RNAcentral.